CUCCUCCUUGCCCUCUUCUGUGUUUCUUUCCACUCCCUACAUUAUAUUAUAGUGACUGGACACUUGGGAUAAUUCGAGUCAGUUAAUGUUUGAAAUACACACAGAGUGAAACAAAAGUUCACAAAGUACAGCCUGCUGUUUGUCACCCAGUGCUCAAUGACUGAAAUAGAGCAGAAGAUGGGCCAAGAAGGGUCCAUCUGAUGGACCUCAGUGCUCAAACAGGCCACCAAGAUAAAUCUGCUCUUGGGAAUUGCAUCUCCUCGUGCCUGGGAGCAGAAAGUCUUUGCUGCCAUGAACUGUUGCUCCUCUGCCAUGUGCCACCCUGCCUUGGAGCCAGCCGAUUAUGGACUGAAACUGCUACAAAUUGUGAGCUAAAUAAAACCUUUUCCCCUCUAACUUUGGAUGCCGGUAUUUUGUCUUAACAAUGAGAGAAAAGUAACUAAGAACAGACUCAGAAAGGCAUGGAUCACAUGGGUUUUCUCAUAUGUGGAAUCUAGGGGGAAGAAAAGACAUGAAAGUAGAAGGGAGACUAGUUGGUAAUAGGAAAAGGGCCAGGAGGAUCAAGAGAGGAUGGGUAUGACCAAAUAAUGUAAUAUGCAAGUAUGACAAUGUCACAAAGAAACCCAUUACAUUUUC
This 636-nucleotide long non-coding RNA is filed under the name Heterocephalus glaber (naked mole-rat). RNAcentral describes it as "lncRNA (ENSHGLG00000043410.1)". The record is from RNAcentral. Lineage: Eukaryota; Metazoa; Chordata; Mammalia; Rodentia; Bathyergidae.